Molecule: transfer RNA, 65 nt
Filed under: Phlebotomus papatasi
Lineage: Eukaryota; Metazoa; Arthropoda; Insecta; Diptera; Psychodidae
Description: tRNA-Leu
Source: RNAcentral
UCUAAUAUGGCAGACUAGUGCAAUGAAUUUAAGCUUCAUAUAUAAAGAUUAUUCUUUUAUUAGAA